UACGAAGGGUGCAAACGUUGCUCGGAAUUAUUGGGCGUAAAGCGCACGUAGGCGGCAUUGCAAGUCGGAUGUGAAAUCCCUCGGCUUAACCAAGGAAGUGCAUCCGAAACUGCAGUGCUUGAGUACUUAAGAGGAUCGCGGAAUUCCCGGUGUAGAGGUGAAAUUCGUAGAGAUCGGGAGGAACACCGGUGGCGAAGGCGGCGACCUGGGCCAAUACUGACACUGAGGUGCGAAAGCGUGGGGAGCAAACAGG
This 253-nucleotide ribosomal RNA is filed under the name uncultured bacterium. Its description in RNAcentral is "partial 16S ribosomal RNA". It matches the Rfam family "Bacterial small subunit ribosomal RNA", at positions 524 to 776 of the family's 1533-position model. The record is from RNAcentral.